This 37-nucleotide non-coding RNA is filed under the name Alexandrium minutum. Lineage: Eukaryota; Dinophyceae; Gonyaulacales; Pyrocystaceae. The record is from RNAcentral.
UUUUUUUUUUUUUUUUUUUUUUUUUUUUUUUUUCGGA